AUACGUAGGGGGCGAGCGUUGUCCGGAUUUACUGGGCGUAAAGGGAGCGUAGGCGGAAGUUCAAGUCAGUUGUGAAAGUCUGUGGCUUAACCAUAGAAUUGCAGUUGAAACUGAAUUUCUUGAGUGUAGAUAAGGAUGGUGGAAUUUGUGGUGUAGCGGUGAAAUGCAUAGAUAUCACGAAGAACUCCAAUUGCGAAGGCAGCCAUCCGGGCUACAACUGACGCUGAGGCUCGAAAGUGCGGGAAUC
Molecule: ribosomal RNA, 247 nt
Filed under: uncultured bacterium
Lineage: Bacteria
Description: partial 16S ribosomal RNA
Rfam family: Bacterial small subunit ribosomal RNA
Source: RNAcentral